RNAcentral lists this ribosomal RNA (253 nucleotides) under uncultured bacterium. RNAcentral's name for it is "partial 16S ribosomal RNA". It matches the Rfam family "Bacterial small subunit ribosomal RNA", at positions 524 to 776 of the family's 1533-position model. The record is from RNAcentral.
UACGUAGGGGGCUAGCGUUGUCCGGAAUCAUUGGGCGUAAAGCGCGUGUAGGCGGUCCGGUAAGUCCGCUGUGAAAGUCGGGGGCUCAACCCUCGGAUGCCGGUGGAUACUGUCGGGCUUGAGUCCGGAAGAGGCGAGUGGAAUUCCUGGUGUAGCGGUGAAAUGCGCAGAUAUCAGGAGGAACACCAAUUGCGAAGGCAGCUCGCUGGGACGUUACUGACGCUGAGACGCGAAAGCGUGGGGAGCAAACAGG